This 21-nucleotide unclassified non-coding RNA is filed under the name Mus musculus (house mouse). RNAcentral's name for it is "oocyte_clustered_small_RNA5666". The record is from RNAcentral. Lineage: Eukaryota; Metazoa; Chordata; Mammalia; Rodentia; Muridae.
CUCAUCGGCUGAUCUAUACAA